RNAcentral lists this ribosomal RNA (389 nucleotides) under uncultured bacterium. Its description in RNAcentral is "bacterial SSU rRNA". It matches the Rfam family "Bacterial small subunit ribosomal RNA", at positions 29 to 420 of the family's 1533-position model. The record is from RNAcentral.
AUUGAACGCUGGCGGCAUGCCUUACACAUGCAAGUCGAACGGCAGCACGGGAGCAAUCCUGGUGGCGAGUGGCGAACGGGUGAGUAAUAUAUCGGAACGUGCCCGGUCGUGGGGAUAACGUAGCGAAAGCUACGCUAAUACCGCAUACGAUCUACGGAUGAAAGCGGGGGAUCGCAAGACCUCGCGCGAUUGGAGCGGCCGAUAUCAGGUUAGGUAGUUGGUGAGGUAAAGGCUCACCAAGCCGACGAUCUGUAGCUGGUCUGAGAGGACGACCAGCCACACUGGGACUGAGACACGGCCCAGACUCCUACGGGAGGCAGCAGUGGGGAAUUUUGGACAAUGGGCGCAAGCCUGAUCCAGCAAUGCCGCGUGCAGGAUGAAGGCCUCGG